This 253-nucleotide ribosomal RNA is filed under the name uncultured bacterium. RNAcentral's name for it is "partial 16S ribosomal RNA". It matches the Rfam family "Bacterial small subunit ribosomal RNA", at positions 524 to 776 of the family's 1533-position model. The record is from RNAcentral.
UACGUAGGGUGCGAGCGUUAAUCGGAAUUACUGGGCGUAAAGUGUGCGCAGGCGGCCGAGCAAGUCGAGUGUGAAAGCCCCGAGCUUAACUUGGGAACUGCGCUCGAAACUACUUGGCUAGAGUGUGGCAGAGGGAGGUGGAAUUCCACGUGUAGCGGUGAAAUGCAUAGAGAUGUGGAGGAACACCGAUGGCGAAGGCAGCCUCCUGGGCCAACACUGACGCUCAUGCACGAAAGCGUGGGGAGCAAACAGG